CCUACGGGCGGCAGCAGUAGGGAAUCUUCGGCAAUGGGCGAAAGUCUGACCGAGCAACGCCGCGUGAGUGAAGAAGGUUUUCGGAUCGUAAAACUCUGUUGUUAGAGAAGAACAAGUAGGAGAGUAACUGCUCUUACCUUGACGGUAUCUAACCAGAAAGCCACGGCUAACUACGUGCCAGCAGCCGCGGUAAUACGUAGGUGGCAAGCGUUGUCCGGAUUUAUUGGGCGUAAAGCGAGCGCAGGCGGUCUUUUAAGUCUGAUGUGAAAGCCCCCGGCUCAACCGGGGAGGGUCAUUGGAAACUGGGGAACUUGAGUGCAGAAGAGGAGAGUGGAAUUCCACGUGUAGCGGUGGAAUGCGUAGAGAUGUGGAGGAACACCGGUGGCGAAGGCGACUCUCUGGUCUGUAACUGACGCUGAGGAGCGAAAGCGUGGGGAGCGAACAGGAUUAGAUACCCUAGUAGUC
RNAcentral lists this ribosomal RNA (465 nucleotides) under uncultured bacterium. Its description in RNAcentral is "bacterial SSU rRNA". It matches the Rfam family "Bacterial small subunit ribosomal RNA", at positions 338 to 795 of the family's 1533-position model. The record is from RNAcentral.